CACGUAGGCACCAAGCGUUGUCCGGAUUUAUUGGGCGUAAAGAGCUCGUAGGCGGUUCAGUAAGUCGGGUGUGAAAACUCUGGGCUCAACCCAGAGAGGCCACCCGAUACUGCUGUGACUUGAGUACGGUAGGGGAGUGGGGAAUUCCUGGUGUAGCGGUGAAAUGCGCAGAUAUCAGGAGGAACACCAGUGGCGAAGGCGCCACUCUGGGCCGUAACUGACGCUGAGGAGCGAAAGCGUGGGUAGCAAACAGG
RNAcentral lists this ribosomal RNA (254 nucleotides) under uncultured bacterium. RNAcentral describes it as "partial 16S ribosomal RNA". It matches the Rfam family "Bacterial small subunit ribosomal RNA", at positions 524 to 776 of the family's 1533-position model. The record is from RNAcentral.